ACUCCUACGGGAGGCAGCAGUAGGGAAUCUUCCACAAUGGACGAAAGUCUGAUGGAGCAACGCCGCGUGACUGAAGAAGUAUUUCGGUAUGUAAAGGUCUAUCAGCAAGGAAGAGGAGAGACGGUACUUGACUAAGAAGCCCCGGCUGACUACGUGCCAGCAGCCGCGGUAAUAC
Molecule: ribosomal RNA, 175 nt
Filed under: uncultured bacterium
Lineage: Bacteria
Description: partial 16S ribosomal RNA
Rfam family: Bacterial small subunit ribosomal RNA
Source: RNAcentral